UAAAUGGACUCUUUAUCCUUGCAGAGAUC
RNAcentral lists this non-coding RNA (29 nucleotides) under Rattus norvegicus (Norway rat). The record is from RNAcentral. Lineage: Eukaryota; Metazoa; Chordata; Mammalia; Rodentia; Muridae.